Molecule: ribosomal RNA, 253 nt
Filed under: uncultured bacterium
Lineage: Bacteria
Description: partial 16S ribosomal RNA
Rfam family: Bacterial small subunit ribosomal RNA
Source: RNAcentral
UACGUAGGGCGCAAGCGUUGUCCGGAAUUAUUGGGCGUAAAGAGCUCGUAGGCGGUUUGUCGCGUCUGCUGUGAAAACCUAAGGCUCAACCUUGGGCUUGCAGUGGGUACGGGCAGACUAGAGUGCGGUAGGGGUGACUGGAAUUCCUGGUGUAGCGGUGAAAUGCGCAGAUAUCAGGAGGAACACCAGCGGCGAAGGCGGCGCUCUGGGCCGGUACUGACGCUGAGGAGCGAAAGCGUGGGUAGCAAACAGG